Molecule: long non-coding RNA, 3559 nt
Filed under: Macaca fascicularis (crab-eating macaque)
Lineage: Eukaryota; Metazoa; Chordata; Mammalia; Primates; Cercopithecidae
Description: lncRNA (ENSMFAG00000061174.1)
Source: RNAcentral
UUUUUUUCUUUUUUUUUUUUUUUGAGACAGAGUCUCGCUCUGUCGCCCAGGCUGGAGUGCAGUGGCGAUCUCGGCUCACUGCAAGCUCCGCCUCCCGGGUUCACGCCAUUCUCCUGCCUCAGCCUCCCGAGUAGCUGGGACUACAGGCACCCACAACCGCGCCCAGCUAAUUUUUUGUAUUUUUAGUAGAGACGGGGUUUCACCGUGGUCUCGAUCUCCUGACCUUGUGAUCCGCCCGCCUCGGCCUCCCAAAGUGCUGGGAUUACAGGCGUGAGCCACCGCGCCCGGCCGGAAAUUUUUUUCACUAAAGAUCAAGAGGAAUACAAUUCACACAAAACCAUGAGGCUCAUACCAAUAUCAUAGUUGACACCACUUCUUCAGGAUGCUUACUCUCUGACCACAACUGGUCAGGGGAUGAGUCCAUCCCAGAAUCUGAAAGGUGGAACCAAGAGGUGGAGAUGCUGCUGACACUAACACUGCAAUCCCUGCAUAUUUUACUUGAGAGCUGCAGACACCAAAGUGAAGUGCCCAGCCCGGGUGUUCCUGACAGUCCACUAGGAACUUGUGUCUUAUGAUACACACAUUUCUACAGACACACAAAUCUGUAACUUAUAACUAUACAUAUGCUGGGAAUGUGAGACUUCCCCCCCCAAUAAUGGGGUUCAUUCUUUUGAAAGUAUGAACAAGAAACAUACACACUUUAGCCUUGGCACAGCUCACACCUGGGUUGGAUAACUCUGCUGUGGGGGCCAUUGUGAGCCUUGCAGCCCCAGCCUCCACCUGCCAGACACCACCCUUCAUUAUGACCACUCAGAUGUCUCUAUAUGUCCCCUGGGGGCAAAAUUGCCCCUAGAUGAGAACCACUGCUCACAGUGAAUAGAUCCAUAUGUUCAAGUCUGCCCACACCAUGGAAUAUUACACAGCACAGAGAAGGAUCCACAGCUGCCUGCAGCAACAUGGAUGAGUCUAACCUACACAAUGUUGUGCAACAGGCAGGCAUCUAAUUCCAUUCAUACAAACACAUGGUGAGGCAGGCUUUAUUCCGUAAGCUACUACAGAGGGGCUUGGGAGGCCAGACUCAACUCCAGCUUGGACAAGAACAAGUGAAGGCUUAAAGCCGAGAAGCAGCAGGGUAUCUGGAGGAUGAAAAAUUAUCAAGUGCAAACCCUCAGAGAUAAGGGGUGAAUUCUUGCCAGACCAACUCAAGAGAAGUUUUCCUGAAGGCAGGCCAAGGGAAGAAGACAUUGAAGGUGGGGGACAAGGAAUUUGAUCAGAUAUCAAGAGGAAGGGGAAGAUUUUUUGCUAACAUGACUUAGUAGGAUUAUGUAUUAGUCCAUUCUCACACUGCUAUAAAGGACUACCUGAGACUGGGUAAUUCAUGAAGAAAAGAGGUUUCAUUGACUCACAGUUCCACAGGCUGUACAGGAAGCAUGGCAGGAAGGCCUCAAGAAACUUACAAUCAUCACAGAGGGUGGGGAAGGAAGCACGCCUUACUGCGGCAGAGCGAGUGGAGUGGGGAGUGCUACACACUUUUAAACAACCAGGUUUCAUGAAGACACACUCACUAUCAUGAGAACAGCAAAAGGGGAAAUCCGCCUCCACAAUCCAAUCACCUCCCACCAGGUCUGUCCCCCAAAACUGGAAAUUACAAUUCGACAUGAGAUUUUGGCAGAAACACAGAGCUAACCCAUAUCAUUCUAUCCCUGUCCCACCCCCAAAUCUCAUAUUCUUCUCUUACUGCAAAAUGUAAUCAUGCCUUCCCAAGAGUCCCCCAAAGUUUUAACUCAUGCCAGCAUUAACUCAAAAGUACAAGUCCAAAGAUUCAUCUGAGACAAGGCAAGUCCCUUUCACCUAUGAGUCUGUAAAAUUAAAAGCAACUGAGUUACUUCUGAGGUACAAUGGAGAGUACAGGCAUUGGGUAAAUCCCCCUAUUCCAAAAGGGAGAAAUUGGUCAAAACAAAGGGGCUACAGGUCCUAUGCAAGUCUGAAUACCAGCAGGGCAGUCAUUAAAUCUUAAAGCUCCAAAAUAAUCUUCUUUGACUCCAUGUCUCACAUCCAGGUCACACUGAUGCAAGGGGUGGGCUCCCAAGGCCUUGGGCACUCCACUCCUGUGGCAAUGCAGGGUACAGCCCCUGUGGCUGCUUUCACAGGCUGGCAUUGAGUGCCUGUGGCUUUUCCAGGCACACGGUGCAAACUAACGGCGGACCUACCAUUCUGGAGUCUGGAGGAUGAUGACCCUCUUCUCACAGCUCCACUAGGUAGUGCCCCAGUGGGGACUCUGUGUGGGGGUUCCAACCCCACAUUUCCCCAUCAUACUGCCUUAGUAGAGGUUCUCCACGAGGGCUCUACCCAUGCAGCAGACUUUUGCCUGGACGUCCAGGUGUUUCCAUACAUCCUCUGAAAUCUAGGCAGAGGCUCCCAAACUUCAACUCUUGCCUUCUGUGCACGCACAGAUCCAACACCACGUGGAAGCUGCCAAGGCUUGGGACUUGCACCCUCUGAAGCAAUGAACCAAGCUGUACAUUGGCCCCUUUUAGCCACAGUUAGAACUGAAGCAGCUGAGAUGCAGGGUGCCAAGUCUUGAGGAUGCACAGAACAGUGGGGCCCUGGACCCUGGUCCACAAAACCAUUUUUCUCUCCUAGGUCUCUAGGCUUGUGAUGGGAGGGGCUGCUGUGAAAGUCUCUGAAAUGCCCUGCAGGCAUUUUCCUCAUUGUCUUGGCUAUUAACAUUCAGCUCUUCUUUACUUAUGUACAUUUCUGCAGCCUUUGAUUCCUGCCGGAAAAUGGGCAGCAAAUUUUCAAAUGUUCAUGCUCUGCUUCCAGUUAAUAUAAGUUAUAGUUUUAGGUCAUUUCUUUGAUUAUGCAAUUGAGUGCAGACUUUUAGAAGCAGCCAGGUGACCUCUCCAACACUGUGCUGCUUAGAAAUUUAUUCUGCCAGACACUAAAUAAUCUCUCAAGCUCAAGUUCUGUCUCUUACAGAUCUCUAGAGCAGGAGCACAAUGCUGCCAGUCUUUUUGCUAAAGCACAGUGAGAGUGACCUUUACUCCAGUUACCAAUAAGUUCCUCAUCUCCAUCCGAGACUACUGCAGCCCAGACUUCCCUGUCCAUAUUAUUAGCAUUUUGGUCACAACCAUUUAAGUCUCUAGGAGGUUCCACACUUUCCCUCAACUUCCUGUCUUCUUCUGAUUCCUUCAAACUGUUCCAACCUCUGCCCAUUACCCAACUCCAAAGUAGCUUCAGGUAUCUUUAUAGCAGUGCCCCACUCCUGUUACCAACUUUCUGUAUUAGUCCAUUCUCACACUGCUGUAAGGAACUACCUAAGACUGGGUAAUUUAUGAAGAAAAUAGGUUUUAUUGACUCACAAUUCCACAGGCUGUACAUGAAGCAUGGCUGGGAGGCCUCAGGAAACUUACAAUCAUGGCAGAAGGUGAAGAAGUAAGCAUGUCUUACCAUGGCAGAGCAGGAAAGAGGGUGAAUGAAGAAGGAAGUGCUACACACGUUUAAACAAGCAGGUCUCAUGGGAACUCACUAUCAUGAGAACAGCAAGGAGGAAAUCUGC